RNAcentral lists this long non-coding RNA (325 nucleotides) under Elaeis guineensis (African oil palm). RNAcentral describes it as "long non-coding RNA (EGUI_LNC076632)". The record is from RNAcentral. Lineage: Eukaryota; Viridiplantae; Streptophyta; Magnoliopsida; Arecales; Arecaceae.
CAAGUCAUAAAUCCUCUCACUGACUUCACCAAGUCAUGUAAGAGACUAGAGACUAACUGGUCUAAUCGGCAAGUCAUAAAUCCUUCCAUUGACUUUAAUAAGUCAUCAGAAGGACUGAGACAAGCCAAUCCAGGGCACCUAAAUCAGUCAUACUGAUUAAUCAUAACAACAUGGGUCAACUUGAGUUAUCUAAUGAUCUAAUCAACCCAAUGACUCGGGCUCAACAGCUGAGCCUCAAUCAAAGUCUAUUUGGUUUAAUCAAAGAUAUGGACUUGACCAACUACAACUACUGUAUUUGAUCUAGAGUAUCCUUGAUCUAAUCUAA